This 253-nucleotide ribosomal RNA is filed under the name uncultured bacterium. RNAcentral describes it as "partial 16S ribosomal RNA". It matches the Rfam family "Bacterial small subunit ribosomal RNA", at positions 524 to 776 of the family's 1533-position model. The record is from RNAcentral.
UACAGAGGGUGUGAGCGUUGUCCGGAAUCACUGGGCGUAAAGGGCGCGUAGGUGGCGCUCCAAGUCUGUGGUGAAAGCUCGACGCUCAACGUCGAGUCGGCCAUAGAGACUGGAGGGCUCGAGCACUGUAGGGGCAGAUGGAAUUCCGGGUGUAGCGGUGGAAUGCGUAGAGAUCCGGAAGAACACCGGUGGCGAAGGCGGCGCUCUGGACCGAGACUGACGCUGAGGCGCGAAAGCGUGGGGAGCAAACAGG